AGAUGGGGGGGGGAUGGGGGGGGUAGAGGGGGGGCGAUGGAGUGGGUAGACGGGGGAGACAGAAGAGGAGUAGGGAGGACAGACAGGAGGAGGAGUGGCCACGCUCGAGCACCGCCCUACGAGACUGCAGGGAGGCGGAGCCGCGGCCCGGCAGCGGGCCCGGCGGAAGAACGCAGGUUAGGAGAGAAAACAGGGAAAAAACGGGAGCGGCGUGGGCACUAGAAGCGGUAACGCCCGCAGCGGCGCGGCCGCCGGGAGCGGAAGCAGUAGCGGCGUAGGCGCCGGGAGCGGCGUGGUCGCCUGGAGCGGCAGCAGUAACGGCGUGGGUGUCGGGAGCGGCAGAGGUGAGAGACAGAGAAAGAAGUCCGGAGGGAACCUUUCGGUAGAGGCCAGACCGGGCUGAGGAGCCAGAGCGGGCCGAGGAGCCAGGAGAGCAGACACCAGCCGCAGCGGUUGGGGAAAGGCGCACCGUAAUCAAGGAAGGCAGCAGUGGCGGUGGAGGAGUAGGUGUGGACGAGAACAGCCGGUCGUGCGAGGUCGGACGCCAGCCGCAGGACACAUAGUGGUGGAGUACCAUCGUGGAGCAGAUGUCAAAUUCACAGUGGUUACCAGUAAUCUACAUAUUCUGUAUGCUGAAAGAUGUGGCCACCGGCACUAAGGAAAUGUGGAAGAUCAACAUUACGCAACAAGAGUUUACUGUGGAAACGUCCAGUAAUAUCACCAUCGACUGCAGAGUGGAAUACCCACCACCUGAAAUGAGCAAAAAGGACAUUCAGGGCUUCUGGAAGGUGAACCGUGAAGGAAGAAUUAGCCAUUGCGAACGAAAAUCCAACGAAAUCAUCUACAAUCAUAACAAUACGUUAGUGUGGCGGAGAUUCCAGGGAAGAACUAAAGCCCUCGGGAACAUUGCGAACAACAGCUGUUCUCUAUCAAUCAGCAAGAUCCAGAAUGAGGAUCAGGGGCGCUACUACUUUAGAGUGGAGACAGGAUCUAAUAGCUACAGCUUUUGCAACAAUAUGAUCACCAUUAAAGUUAUAGGACAUGUCUCCAAUGUUACCUUGAAAGCAGUGUCUCAAGAUGUCACAGAAAACCCAUUUUUUUCUACAAAUAUUCCAGGAACCUCCGCACCUUCGACAGACUUUAGCAUCUUUAUUUACGUGCCGAUUAUCGUGCUCGUUGUUGUGAUUGUGGCUGUAGCUGUGUUUCUCCUCAGACGAAGAAAAAGAAGAAGACAACCGUCCAGACAAGACUCAAGUUACUAUGUCAAUUUCCAUCCGCCUUGUGAGAUGCAGAAUGAUGGACCUAAGUUGCCAGAGAAGUUUGAAAAAAAGCUGGAACCACCGCCCUUUACAUCUAAACCUCAGGAUGAACCUAUUUACAGCAAUGUUCAGGGUAAGACUCUUGUGGAGCCUGCUGCUUCUGAUCAGAUGGAGAACAUCUACACUAAUGUUGGCUGUGGUACACAGUGGUAGGAAAUGGCCUGAGAGUGUUUUGGGACCUGAGGGGUUGGAGGGUCAAGGAGUGUUGGCAUUUCAAUGUUAAAGUUUAACCAAUGUUAAGUAGCAAAUAAGACAAUAAAUUAAAAAGCUACAUUUCA
RNAcentral lists this long non-coding RNA (1597 nucleotides) under Astyanax mexicanus (Mexican tetra). Its description in RNAcentral is "lncRNA (ENSAMXG00005000143.1)". The record is from RNAcentral. Lineage: Eukaryota; Metazoa; Chordata; Actinopteri; Characiformes; Acestrorhamphidae.